UUUAACAUGAGAGUUUGAUCCUGGCUCAGGAUGAACGCUGGCGGCGUGCUUAACACAUGCAAGUCGAACGAAGCACUGGAGCGGAAUCCCUUCGGGGAGGAAGCGCCUUUGACUGAGUGGCGGA
RNAcentral lists this ribosomal RNA (124 nucleotides) under Eubacterium sp. RNAcentral describes it as "partial 16S ribosomal RNA". It matches the Rfam family "Bacterial small subunit ribosomal RNA", at positions 1 to 102 of the family's 1533-position model. The record is from RNAcentral. Lineage: Bacteria; Bacillati; Bacillota; Clostridia; Eubacteriales; Eubacteriaceae.